AUGGGGUGGAUCUCUAUCAUCCUCUUUCUAGUGGCAACAGCUAUAGGUGUCCACUCUCAGGUCCAGCUGCAGCAGUCUGGGGCUGAGCUGGUGAGGCCUGGGGCCUCAGUGAAGAUGUCAUGCAAGGCUUCUGGCUACACCUUCACUACCUAUCCUAUAGAGUGGAUGAAGCAGAAUCAUGGAAAGAGCCUAGAGUGGAUUGGGAAUUUUCAUCCUUACAAUGAUGAUACUAAGUACAAUGAAAAGUUCAAGGGCAAGGCCACAUUGACUGUAGAAAAAUCCUCUAGCACAGUCUACUUGGAGCUCAGCCGAUUAACAUCUGAUGACUCUGCUGUUUAUUACUGUGCAAGGCACAGUGUUGCAACCACAUCCUGA
This is a non-coding RNA of Mus caroli (Ryukyu mouse), 375 nucleotides long. NCBI's taxonomy places the organism in Eukaryota, Metazoa, Chordata, Mammalia, Rodentia, Muridae. The record is from the annotation of a RefSeq genome assembly.